GGUGACUGGGGGGCAGCGGCAGCGGUAAGGCAGGGGGGGCAAAAGUUGUUCGGGAUUACGGGGGUGAAGUGGUGUGUAGGCGGUCUCGCAAGUCGGAUGUGAAAGCCCCGGGCUCAACCCGGGAAGUGCACUCGAUACUGCAAGACUCGAGUUUCGGAGAGGUUGGUGGAAUUCUCGGUGUAGAGGUGAAAUUCGUAGAUAUCGAGAGGAACACCGGUGGCGAAGGCGGCCAACUGGACGAAAACUGACGCUGAGACACGAAAGCGUGGGGAGCAAACAGGAUUAGAUACCCGGGUAGUC
This 300-nucleotide ribosomal RNA is filed under the name uncultured Halobiforma sp. RNAcentral describes it as "bacterial SSU rRNA". It matches the Rfam family "Bacterial small subunit ribosomal RNA", at positions 496 to 795 of the family's 1533-position model. Lineage: Archaea; Methanobacteriati; Methanobacteriota; Halobacteria; Halobacteriales; Natrialbaceae. The record is from RNAcentral.